RNAcentral lists this ribosomal RNA (100 nucleotides) under Elachista nigra. RNAcentral describes it as "partial 5.8S ribosomal RNA". It matches the Rfam family "5.8S ribosomal RNA", at positions 60 to 154 of the family's 154-position model. From Rfam's summary of the family: 5.8S ribosomal RNA (5.8S rRNA) is a component of the large subunit of the eukaryotic ribosome. It is transcribed by RNA polymerase I as part of the 45S precursor that also contains 18S and 28S rRNA. The record is from RNAcentral. Lineage: Eukaryota; Phaeophyceae; Ectocarpales; Chordariaceae.
ACGUCUUGCGACUUGCAGAAUCCAGUGAAUCAUCAAAACUUUGAACGCAUCUUGCGCUUCCGGGAGUUCCCUGGGAGCAUGCUUGUCGGAGUGUCUGUUG